GACGAACGCUGGCGGCGUGCUUAACACAUGCAAGUCGAACGAAGAGCGAUGGAAGCUUGCUUCUAUCAAUAUUAGUGGCGAACGGGUGAGUAACGCGUAAUCAACCUGCCCUUCAGAGGGGGACAACAGUUGGAAACGACUGCUAAUACCGCAUACGAUCUAAUCUCGGCAUCGAGGAUAGAUGAAAGGUGGCCUCUGCAUGUAAGCUAUCACUGAAGGAGGGGAUUGCGUCUGAUUAGCUAGUGGGAGCGGUAACGGCCCACCAAGGCGAUGAUCAGUAGGCGGUCUUAGAGGAUGGACGGCCACCUUGGGACUGCGACCCGGCCCAGACUCCUACGGGAGGCAGCAGUGGGGAAUCUUCCGCAAUGGACGCAAGUCUGACGGAGCAACGCCGCGUGAGUGAUGACGGCCUUCGGGUUGUAAAGCUCUGUUAAUCGGGACGAAAGGCCUUCUUGCGAAUAGUGAGAAGGAUUGACGGUACCGGAAUAGAAAGCCACGGCUAACUACGUG
This 510-nucleotide ribosomal RNA is filed under the name uncultured bacterium. Its description in RNAcentral is "partial 16S ribosomal RNA". It matches the Rfam family "Bacterial small subunit ribosomal RNA", at positions 28 to 507 of the family's 1533-position model. The record is from RNAcentral.